AUUGAACGCUGGCGGAAUGCUUUACACAUGCAAGUCGAACGGCAGCACGGACUUCGGUCUGGUGGCGAGUGGCGAACGGGUGAGUAAUGUAUCGGAACGUGCCCAGUCGUGGGGGAUAACGUAGUGAAAAUUACGCUAAUACCGCAUACGAUCUAUGGAUGAAAGCGGGGGAUCGCAAGACCCUGCGCGAUCGGAGCGGCCGAUAUCAGAUUAGGUAGUUGGUGGGGUAAAGGCCCACCAAGCCAACGAUCUGUAGCUGGUCUGAGAGGACGACCAGCCACACUGGAACUGAGACACGGCCCAGACUCCUACGGGAGGCAGCAGUGGGGAAUUUUGGACAAUGGGCGAAAGCCUGAUCCAGCCAUUCCGCGUGCAGGAUGAAGGCCCUCGGGUUGUAAACUGCUUUUGUACAGAACGAAAAGGUUUCUACUAAUACUAGGAGCUCAUGACGGUACUGUAAGAAUAAGCACCGGCUAACUACGUGCCAGCCGCCGCCGUAA
Molecule: ribosomal RNA, 500 nt
Filed under: uncultured bacterium
Lineage: Bacteria
Description: partial 16S ribosomal RNA
Rfam family: Bacterial small subunit ribosomal RNA
Source: RNAcentral